Cebus imitator (Panamanian white-faced capuchin) is the source of this 662-nucleotide long non-coding RNA. RefSeq lists it as uncharacterized. The transcript is spliced from 3 exons. The record is from RefSeq and is a predicted model, not a curated record. Lineage: Eukaryota; Metazoa; Chordata; Mammalia; Primates; Cebidae.
AUGGUAACAGGCAGACGGACCUGAGAGAAGCAAGGCUGCAGAGAGACUGUAGCCAUCACCAAACAACAAAUCAAAGGGAAGUGUCUCAGGAGAGAUUUAUAAUUAUCACACAUUUGUCCUUGCAGCCAAACCGGGAUGCAACAGAAAUCGUGCCUUUGGCACUAGCAUCUUAGGCCACAAAAUCAGCUGUCUUGAAAUUCUUACUAACUUUUGAACAUGGAACCCUACAUCUUCAUUUUGUACUGAUCUCCACAUAUUUGAUAGCUGAUCUGAAGGAGGAGAGAGAUAUUAUGAUGGGGGAUGAAGGGUAUGGGAGUGCAUGCUAUGGCUGCCUGAUGUCAAAGUUCUCCAGGUCUAGAGAGGAUUUAAGUUGCUGGAAUAAUCCACCCAGUCUUGCAGAUAUGAUUACAGAAUUGAUGGUAUGUGGAUAUCGGUGUGAUCAUAAAACACAAAAAGGACGUAAGGCAACAGCUUUGUUCUUCUCCAUAUGGAGAAAGUGUUUUUGUUCUACUUGGUAACAGGCCUCUUCAGUGUUUCUCGGAGACAUCAAUAAAUGAUUAUUUUCCAGCAUUCCAUCACAUGCCAAGUGUUUUACUCCCAUUUCCCUGAGGUUCUCGUCAGUCAGCACUUGUCUUGAAGCUCAGUACAGACAUGGUAUGGGU